RNAcentral lists this ribosomal RNA (497 nucleotides) under uncultured bacterium. RNAcentral describes it as "partial 16S ribosomal RNA". It matches the Rfam family "Bacterial small subunit ribosomal RNA", at positions 28 to 507 of the family's 1533-position model. The record is from RNAcentral.
GAUGAACGCUGGCGGCGUGCCUAAUACAUGCAAGUCGAGCGAACGGACGAGAAGCUUGCUUCUCUGAUGUUAGCGGCGGACGGGUGAGUAACACGUGGAUAACCUACCUAUAAGACUGGGAUAACUUCGGGAAACCGGAGCUAAUACCGGAUAAUAUUUUGAACCGCAUGGUUCAAAAGUGAAAGACGGUCUUGCUGUCACUUAUAGAUGGAUCCGCGCUGCAUUAGCUAGUUGGUAAGGUAACGGCUUACCAAGGCAACGAUGCAUAGCCGACCUGAGAGGGUGAUCGGCCACUCUGGAACUGAGACACGGUCCAGACUCCUACGGGCGGCAGCAGUAGGGAAUCUUCCGCAAUGGGCGAAAGCCUGACGGAGCAACGCCGCGUGAGUGGUGAAGGUCUUCGUAUCGUAAAACUCUGUUAUUAGGGAAGAACAUAUGUGUAAGUAACUGUGCACAUCGUGACGGUACCUAAUCAGAAAGCCACGGCUAACUACGUG